Molecule: ribosomal RNA, 250 nt
Filed under: uncultured bacterium
Lineage: Bacteria
Description: partial 16S ribosomal RNA
Rfam family: Bacterial small subunit ribosomal RNA
Source: RNAcentral
UACGGGGGGGCAAGCGUUGUUCGGAAUUACUGGGCGUAAAGGGCUCGUAGGUGGCCAACUAAGUCAGACGUGAAAUCCCUCGGCUUAACCGGGAACUGCGUCUGAUACUGGAUGGCUUGAGAUUGGGAGAGGGAUGCGGAAUUCCAGGUGUAGCGGUGAAAUGCGUAGAUAUCUGGAGGAACACCGGUGGCGAAGGCGGCAUCCUGGACCAACACUGACACUGAGGAGCGAAAGCCAGGGAGCAAACGGG